Long non-coding RNA from Papio anubis (olive baboon), 2598 nucleotides. NCBI's taxonomy places the organism in Eukaryota, Metazoa, Chordata, Mammalia, Primates, Cercopithecidae. The record is from Ensembl.
CAGAAAGAGGCGGGGGAAUUCUGGGUGUGCGCGGCCAUGGAGCGCGCGCAUGCGCAGCAGCUCCCGCUGCUGAAUAGCUGAGAGGCGCACUGGGGCGCAAGCUGGGCUCGGAGUGCAGCGGGGUCAGGAUGGACGAGGACGUGUUGCACCCUGAAGAGCCUCAUCAUCGGCAAGAGUGCGGUGGGCAAGUACAGUCGGCUGUGGAAGAACUCCUGGAUCUUGUGACUGCUGGAAAAUUUCGCUUUAGUGUAAGUGGUCCACAGCUGAAGCAGUCGGACCACCUUUGAAAAUAAAGUAUAAUUGUUAUUUCUCAUUUUGCCACAUCCUAUGGAGACAAAAGAUUAGUGUUGUCUUUUCAUUUUUGAUUUUUUCCUUGGGGAAAAUAAUAUUGACAGUGGAGUUGACUAUAAGGUAAGACAUGGAUCUAGGUGGAUGUUGCUAGAGGGUUGUGAUUUCAUCCAGGUCUUGGAACAGAGUUCUCCAGAUGAAUUCAUUCUUGCCCUCUGAUUAUGAGUAGGUUAUGUUCAAGGCCGUCCUGAUCCUUAAACCGCAUUUACACUCCAGGAGCUAUAAUCAGUUUCAUAUUUUAGCUAUAUCUUCUGAUACACGUAUCUUUUUUUUUUUUUGAGACUGAGUCUUGCUCUGUUGCCCAGGCUGGAGUGCUGUGGCGAGAUCUCACCUCACGGCAACCUCCGCCUCCUGGGGUCAAGCGAUUCUCCUUCCUCAGCCUCCUGAGUAGCUGGGAUUACAAGUGUGUGUCACCACGCCCAGUUAAUUUUUGUGUUUUUAGUAGAGACAGGGUUUCACCAUGUUGGCCAGGCUGGUCUCGAACUCCUGACCUCUAGUAAUCCACCCGCCUCAGCCUCCCAAAGUGCUGGGACUACAGGCGUGAGCCACCGCGCCUGCUGAUACAUAUCUUUCAAAUAACUUGUUAUUCAUGUAAGAUUUUACAAAUUGAGGUAUCCUUAUACAAAAUAGAAUGAAAGCUUUCCUCGUGUAACUUUUAAAAUUACGAAGUUUUAUACGUAUGUAACCUGCACAUUCUGCACAUGUAUCCCAGAACUUAAAGUAUAAAUAAAUACAUAAAUAAAUAAGAUUACAAAGUCUUACUUUUUUAGCUACUUCAGGAUUUUAAAGCUUACUAUGUAAUAGAUUCUGAAAUUUUUUGUAUUUUUAAAGUUUGACAAUACAUUUUUCCAGUACUCCUCACUUAAUGUACUCUAUGUCUACUAUAGUCAGAGGGAUUUGCACAUACCAAGGAAUAGAAUAAUGAAACACUAUGAGUAAGCAAACCAGUAUGAUUUGUGUGUGUGUGUGUGUGUGUGUGUGUAAAAGGGAUGAAUAAAAUUAUUUACAUGAUCAUCUGUUAUUGCACGUACAUACUUGAGGGUUAAAAAGUUAAUGUAAUAAAAAUUGCCUUAAUAGGAAUUCAUAACCUCGUGAUCUUUCUUUUUCAUUUCUCUCUUUUUUCCUUGACAUAUGGUUCUCAUUUAAGUUCAGACAUAUGAAAUUGGCAUUUUUGAAGUCACGAAUGGUUGGUUGUCAUUUCAUGUAGUUCAACCCAAUACACGCAAUUGGGUUGAAAUUGGUUAGCACUUUAUGUAAAUGUAUUGCAUGGGUGACAAGUUAGGGUGGUUAAAAUUUUCUGGAAAGUUAACUGGAGUAUAUAAAUGAGUUUGGUUCCCUGUCCCCCCUGUGCCACCGCUUUUUUUUUUUUUUGAGAUAGGGUCUUGUUCUGUCACUUGCUGGAGCGCAGUGGUGUGAUCACGGCUCACUGCAGCCUUGACUUCCUGGGCUCAAUCGAUCCUGCCACCUCAGCCUCCUGAGUAGCUGGGACUAUAGGGACGAAUCACCAUGCCUGACUAGGGUUUUUUAUAGAGACAAGUUCUUGGCUGUGUUGCCUAGGCUGAUCUCGAACUCCUGAGCUCAAUGGAUCUUCCCUCAAUGGAUCCUUGCAAAAUGCUGGGAUCAUAGGCAUAAGCCACCAUACCCGGCUCUACUUAAAAAAUUUUUUUUUGUAGAUGGGAUUUCCCUAUGUUGCCCAAGCUAUUCUGAAACUCAUGGGCUCAUGCCAUCCGCCAGCCUUGGCCUCUCAAGAGUGCUGGGAUUACAGGCAUGAGGCAUCGCACUCAGCUGAGAGUCCCUUUUUAGAAUAAGUUCUGUUGAAUGGGUUUAUCAGUCUCUCUAGUUCACGCCCCAGAAACAAAUUGUAUUUAGGCCUGAUCUUUUUUAAACUUUUCCCUCAAUGCCUAAUGGUGGAUUAUCAAUUGCUCACUGCAAAAUUUUGACAGUUUACCUCUUUCGUGAAAGGAUUGCAUUUAGUGAGAAAGUUGUCUUAUUUGUCUGGCUAGAUACACAUUAUUGUCCUGUGUGAUAUGCUAUGGAAAAGAACCUUAAACACGUAGUCACCUUUCUGGAUAAGAAUAAAUGACUCCACUAAAAUAGAAGUCUAUAUUUAAAGUGAGUUAGUACAGAAACAUUUGUCAUGGAUGUGAUCUUAAAGGGUUGUUUUUACCAAGUUUGUUCUGUUUCUUUACAGAGCUGGAACUAGUGGAAGUGAAAUAGCACUCAUGUUGUUGGGGAAAUAUUGCACAAUGA